UACGUAGGUGGCAAGCGUUGUCCGGAAUUAUUGGGCGUAAAGCGCGCGCAGGCGGCUUCUUAAGUCUGAUGUGAAAUCUCGGGGCUCAACCCCGAGCGGCCAUUGGAAACUGGGAAGCUUGAGUACAGAAGAGGAGAGUGGAAUUCCACGUGUAGCGGUGAAAUGCGUAGAUAUGUGGAGGAACACCAGUGGCGAAGGCGACUCUCUGGUCUGAUAACUGACGCUGAGGCGCGAAAGCGUGGGGAGCAAACAGG
This 254-nucleotide ribosomal RNA is filed under the name uncultured bacterium. RNAcentral's name for it is "partial 16S ribosomal RNA". It matches the Rfam family "Bacterial small subunit ribosomal RNA", at positions 524 to 776 of the family's 1533-position model. The record is from RNAcentral.